Molecule: long non-coding RNA, 333 nt
Organism: Nematostella vectensis (starlet sea anemone)
Lineage: Eukaryota; Metazoa; Cnidaria; Anthozoa; Actiniaria; Edwardsiidae
Exons: 2
Source: RefSeq, a predicted model, not a curated record
CUCGAACAGCAGACAUCUUUUGGAGAUUUUGAAGCAAAUGACCUCCAAGAGUAACGUCUUUGUGUCCUGUCGUGUCUUUUUAAUUCGUCAUAAAGCAACCCACGAACCAUGGCCAUGGUUGCGGUGACAACCAUUGGUACUGUAAUGAAUGGGAGACCAAAGGACUCUGCACCAACGCUUAUUUUGUGAACUUCCUCAAGAUCUACUGUCGUAAGACGUGCAGUCAUUGUAAAUGAGAUCCCCGACUUUGCGUUUAGAUGGGGGGUAUUGCUGUUUUGGAUGGAAAAAAUAAAAAAGUAUAAAAUGAGAACAAUUAAAAAAAAAAAAAAAACA